Molecule: non-coding RNA, 72 nt
Organism: Phthorimaea operculella (potato tuberworm)
Lineage: Eukaryota; Metazoa; Arthropoda; Insecta; Lepidoptera; Gelechiidae
Source: the annotation of a GenBank genome assembly
GCGCCCGUAGCUCAGUUGGUUGAGCGGUGGAACGGCAAUCCACAGUCCCGGGUUCAAGUCCCGGCGGACGCU